This is a long non-coding RNA of Fukomys damarensis (Damara mole-rat), 1096 nucleotides long. RefSeq lists it as uncharacterized. The record is from RefSeq and is a predicted model, not a curated record. The transcript is spliced from 4 exons. Lineage: Eukaryota; Metazoa; Chordata; Mammalia; Rodentia; Bathyergidae.
UACAGAUUUCUUAUUUUGAGGCAGCUUUCUGCCGCUGACCAGGAGCGCUCAUUGGAAUGGUUCUGGUCAUAGCGUGUCGUGUGCUUUGCACCUGGAACAUCAACAACCCCAGCAAUCCCCACCACUCCCCCAGGCCCGAGCAGAUGAACAGCUCUGCAGCCUCAGUGUCAUCAGCUUCGCCUUGAAUCCGCCUCUAACAGCAAGGUCUCACUAAAGCAGGGACUGAAAAGCCAUCUGGGACACUCAGCCUCCCCGAGGAAAGGCACCACCUGGCCCAUGGCAAGGCAGAAUAUCCUAGUGGAAGCACAUGGUGGAAAAGACUCUUCACCACAUGGGAACCAAGAUGGAAAAGAGAAAAGGAGCACGAAAGGAGCUGAUGGAGCAACUUCCUUCAUAUCUGUACUUUAUCUGCCAUAGUUUUGAUCAGUGAUGCCCUACAAAGAUUCUGACCCCUUUAUUACCCUGAGAGAAAGAAGGAAAGAAACAUUCAUCGGCAGUGGAUUCUUGGCAUCUGGUCCACAGAUGGAGGGAAUUUAGGCUGUGAAGCAGCCAGACUCUGCUCCAGGUCCACUCAGGGCCUUGACUACAAAGACAUGGAGACACCUGCUCUGCUCCCACACCAGGAUAGCGGAUACACACAAAAGGUGCUGCAGUGGCUGAGAGAGCUGUUCAGCAGACAGGAUCACAAAGGGGAGACUUGGGCAAGAGACAUAGGGAAGCCUGCUGAUUGAGGAAAUACUCCAGAUCUCAACCCCAGAAGUCAGGAAGCUGAAGCCCUCAGGGAGAGCAAAGAGAGACAUUGUAGUGAGGACUCAGCAAACUACAGUGGUUGGUGAGUUUGUGGGAUCAGCACCUCCAUCUCAAACCCAGACUCACUGUAGGGGGAGGUUCUCAACUAGAACCCUCUGAAAGUCUGGGAGCUCAAUUCUGGCCUUACAGCCAGAAACCAGUUUGGAUCUCAGUGGAAGACUGUGGGCUAGCUGAAAUUGUUUGACUUGGGUCUUCAGGUUACUAUUCAGGUUGUCUAUCAGUGACAGGAGACAUGCCUUGAAGAGGAUGCCACUAUUAUUUUUUCUCUUUUUCCUUCCUCCUUCUC